CCCUCUUUCCCUCCAGGGCCAUCUGCAUUCUAAGCUGUGCUUGCCUGGGUUUAGCUUUUCUCUUGGAAGCGCCAUCAGGAGGAGCAAAGGGUGAUUCUGAGACCAGGUCUUCCUCCAGGGCCCCUGAGGGCAGCCCCACCUUCUCUGUUUGGGAGGAGCUCUCAGACAUUUGCGUUGACACAACUAAGAGAUACCAUGGCUCUUUCCGGGUCACAUCUUAGCAGAUACAGAAAAUCAACCCGGCGAAAACACUUACCUCCAAGUCAGAGAGACAUUUAAUGGCACUGAGACCUGUGGGUGUGGGUCCCAGUCCAGGCAACAUCUGAAGGCAGAGCGGUGCCCGUCAUAGCAUGGAGUUGGGGCUUCGAGGGUCUUAUCUCUGGCUGACCUGAGCAUUGGCUUGACUGGCCAAGAGAGUUGGGGAAGAAGGAGAAUUCUUUUUUUUUUUUUUAAGACUUUAUUAUUUUUUACAGCUCUUUUAAGGUUACAGCAAAACUGAGAAGGUUCAGAGGUUUUCUAUGUAGCCCAUCCCCACACAUGCUUAGCCUGUCCUGCUGCAAUGCCCCCUCCAGAGUAGCGCAUUUGUUACAGCUGAUUAGUCUAUGCUGACACAUCAUUAUCACCUGCAGUCUUUAGUCCACAUUAGGGCUCACGCAGUGGUGUACGAUCUAUUAGUCUGGACACAUCUAUGAUGACAUGCACCCACCAUUAUAGUAUCAUAGUAUUUUCACUGUCCAGAUAGUCCUCUGUGCUCUGCCUUGUCAUCUCUUCCUCCCUGACUCCUGGCAACCACUGACCUUUCUCUUGGUUCCAUAGUUUUGCCUUUUCCAGAAUUUCAUAUAGUCAGAAUCAUAUAAUACAUAGCCUUUUCAGACUGGCUUCUUUCACAUACUCAUAAGCAUGUAAAUUUCCUUUUCAUGGUUUGAUAGCUCAUUUUUUUAGUGCUGAAUAAGACUCCAUCGUCUGGAUGUACCACCAUGUAUUUAUCCAUUCACCUACUGAAGGACCCCUUGGUUGCCUCUAAGUUUCAGCAGUUAGGAAUUCAGCUGCUAUAAACGUCCAUGUGCCAGUUUUUAUGCGGAGAUAUGUUCGCAGCUCCUUUGGGUAAAUGCCAAGGGGCAUGAUUGUUGGAUUACAUGGUAAGAGUACUUUUAGUUUUGUAAGACACCACCAAACUCUUCCAGAGUGACCACAUGUAUCAUUUUCAUUCCUGCCAACAAUGAGUGAGAAUCCUUGUUGUACCAUAUCCUUGCUGGCGUUUGCUCUUGUCAGCAUUCUGAAUUUUGGCCAUUGUAAUAGGUGUGUAGUGGUAUCCCAUUGUUAUUUAGAAGGAGAAUUCUUCAGAUAAAGAUUCCCUCUAUUUCUCUCCUACAGAGAGGAUUUACCUCAGGCCUAAAGCUGUUAUCUCUCUGGCUCUGACCAUGGUGCUGAAUCCUCGUAUCUUGAAAAUUCAGCUCCUACAGUGGCAGUAGAUUCACAGUCUCAUAGCUGUGCGAUGCAUUAAAAGUGGUAUGAGGAAGAGUGUGUCCUUCCUAAAGCCAUGUAUUUAAGCUACAGAGCUUAUCUGCUCCCUUCUGACGAAGAAGAUUUGGGGAGAAUUUCUAGCUAAAAUUUACAAUUUAGGAUGCUCCAAGGUCCUGAACUACAUCUGAGUGUGAGCAGAAGGUUCUCAACCAACUGGUGCCAAAGUAAACUGAAUGCAGGUCAAGUACCAUAUUUUCCUCCUCAAUUUCUAAUGGAAUAAUAAUAGCUAUGCCAUAGUUCCUCAGACAAUGACCACAGACAGGCUUCUCCUUCUCAGAGAGGGAGAUUCCCAACUUCAGGGUGGUGCUGCCAUGCUGACAUCCAGCAAAUUUGUUUACAUAAAGCUUUAUCAGAGGUUAAUCCUCUAAAGACAGAAUUUGUGGGAAAGAGCCAACUCAAUCCCCAAUCUCUCAAGCCAACUCAACUCGACACAAAGUGCCAACAUUGCGCUAGGCAUGUGCUGGGAAACGUGAACCCUGACAUCAAGAAGUUUAUGGUCUGUUAGGUGAGAAAAACAUGAAUGUGAGUGAUGCUAACAGCAGGCAGAAUGUACCAUGUGCAUUAAGAGAGGUACUGCAUAUUAGAAGAAUUGCAACAGGACAGUGAUCCACUCUGCUCUAAAACCUAAGCAGAGAGUUCUCCAGAGUCCUAAGGUCUGGUCUUGACCUUUCACUCACCUUCCAAGCCAGGAUGGAGGCAGACAUGUCUGAAUUGAUGACAUCUGGUCAGCCAUGAACUUCUUUUUAGAGAUGCAUUCCACCUUGCUACGAGAUCCUGGUCACGACCAGGCCGGGCAGGGCACAAUAGUGUUUGUAUCUGUUCUAUGGAAACAGACUGCAGCUCCAUCUCCACCCGUUCUCUGCAAAUGGACAAGGCAGAAAUUAGUGUGUGGAGGUGGUAUAAGCAAAGGGGCACACCCGGGAAUUGGCUUAGGGAGGAUGAUAAAUCACACUGUCUGGCUUCCCUCUGCUGACUUGGGAGGACCCUGGUCAGCAAGAGGAUGAGAGCAUCUUUCACUCAAUUAAAUAUCAAGUUUUCCUCCUGCCCUUCUUUUGGAUCCCUUUCUCAGAACUCACAAAAGUACUUCAGAGAAAGUUGUGGCGUGCUGGCUGAACAGCAUGGGGAGAAGAGCAUGCGGUCUUAAUAGCACUUGCAAUCAGUUUACCAUAUGUUGAGGUGGAAAUGGCCUGAGCAGUAGAGUUCUGAGCGUGUUACAGAAGAACGCACCUCUCAGGGUCUAGACAGUGCUUGCAACACUGUAGAUGCUCAACAAAUCUUUAUUCAACUGAAGUUGCUGAGAUACUAAAGGAAUGGGGAACAGCUGCUCCCCAGGGCCAGUGCUGUGCUCCAGAAGGCAACGAGGAACUAGCCAUGCGUCUGGACUUCAGACCAGUUGUUCACUCCCACAGCUCAGCAGACCAUCAUCUUCCCAUUCUACGCCCCAAGGAACUCUUGCUGCUGGAUCAAGAGGCAUGAGCCAAGGAAAAGCUCACCAGGGACCUAGAAUCAAGUCCAUCUCAGCUGACCACAUUAUUUUCAAGUAAAGAAGGCCACAAGCCCUCUUUUUCUCUUCAUGGCCAUUGCUGCCCUCAUUUUCAAGACAUUUCAAUGAAGUAUUGCUAAUUGACCUUACCUUCUAGAUGGGAAAAAUGAGGCUAAUGGUUUCUUUCAGCCCAUCAGUGUGGAACCAGGGCUCUUCCAAGGCCAGGUCCCCCCAGGAAUCUCUUAUCUGUUGUUUGUCACUGAAGCUCUGCUCGUUGACAUUUCUCCCGGCCUUGCCCCCAUCCAACUCUAUGUUUUGGUUUGUUUUGCACAUGCAGGAAGUCAGCAAGUGAGCUGGGAUGAGAACGUAGCUCUGUGUACCAUCCACACCUUGUUCCUUUGUCCUUAUUCUCCUGCCUGCCCUUGACCUUCCCUCUGCCCUGUUCAGUCACAGGAAGGAAGCCCGAAGGGAGGGGCAGCUGUUUUCAUAAAGUAAAAAUGCCUCCUACAAGAGUAUACCCAAGGGCUGUGUGCUUUUUUCUGAGACCAGUUCUGACAGCUAAGAAGGCUGGCGCCCAACUGGCACACACCAGUACCUUUGUCCUGUCACCUCCUGCCACAUCAAGCCUUUGGCACAGGACUGGCUACUCAACCUCUGCCAGGCCUGCACCAUCUCUGCCCAACCCAUGGCGGGUGGUGUCCAACAUGUUCGGUGUUGACACAGCCUGGUCCAGCGCCACAUUUUUGUGGAGCAUUUCCCCACCCCCACCCUCACCCCCCCCCGGGGAGGCAGGAUUUGUAAAAGCUGUUGACACACUGUCGCCUUUCUUCCUCCUACGACCCUACGACUUUUGACGAACCAGCUCCCUGUCCACCUACAGACCCCUCUCACCUCCCAGAAGGAAGAAUUAUGUGCCUACCACUGCUCACCUCUUCAACUUAGGAAAGUGCUAAUCCUGAGAUGGCAAGUCUGAGAUGGCCUGAAGCUUCCCAACCGCACCCACAUACCAGGGCAGUGCCAGCCAAGGCAGUUAUCUGUUGUUUCCAUGCAGUGGGCAGGGCUGGCCACUGGAUUGGAUACCAAGGCCACCUGGGUGGAAUGAGCCUUUUCAAAACAGGGUGGAUCCAAAGCCGCUGGCUGAAGUUUCGUACUGUGGCCUUGGGAGAAAGUAAAUGAGGGGUGUGGCGCCCAGAACUUCUAGAAUCAGGUCAAGGGAAUUAAAAAUUAAUGCCCCCAAAAUCCUUCCAUCAACUUAAAACCCAGUUUCUAUAGGGUUCUAAGCUCUAGUCUCAGAAAAAUCAAAACUCACAGCCAUGGGUGGCCAUUGUUUUUAGGUGGCGUAAAACAAAGAAGAUGCCAGUCUCCCUUCCCUACCUCACUGACCCACUGUGACAAUAGUUCUCCCUUGGGAUACCUGUUUUACCAACUGUAGAAUGGGUCAAUACUGUUAAAAUCCUUUUCGAAGUCUUUUUUUUUUAAAUAAAGGAAUGAUUGGUUAGUGAAGCUCCUGCUUUAACUAUAUGCUGCAUGAAAUGAUCAAACAUAACUUUUACCCAGCAGACUCUACCCUCUAAAACUUACAGCCCGCAAAAGAAAGAGGAGGGUGAACAAAACUACUAAGGCAAAGGAAGGUGGCCGCAAGGUGACAGGUGUGUGGCACCUAUCCACUCAAUAAUAAUGGGGCAGUACAUCUGGGGUUCCAAGUAGCUUCAACUGGAUAUCAAAUGAAAACAUUCAGCAUCACAGAGCUGAUGUGAGUGUGUGUGGGAUCCAGAGAUAAAGGACUGUACCUGCAGUGCUCCUCCAGUUUCUUAGAGAACAGUCAGUAGACGCCCUUCCCUCAACAAUUCCCCCUGACCUAGGCAAAAACCAUGGCCUCAUUCCUCUCAUCUUUCUCAGCAAUACAGAAAAACAGUUCUCUUUCGUCAGCCACUAGCCUCCAGCCCUGUACAAGUCGUCUUGCUCCUUAUCCAUACAUAGCCUAACAUGCACAGGAUCCCAGGAGCUAUGCUGCCCUUUGGGUCCUGGAGCUGGAAAAAAGGACCAAAUCCAAUAUAGGACACAUAGUGAUGCUAUUACCCGGCACCUGUACUUUGCUCUAGUCUGUAGUUCAGUUGAGCUUGUUUUCUUGGCAUCAUUAUUCAAAAUUGUGUGCUAUUAAGAAUACACAUUCGGGGGGCCGCUGCUAAUGUAACCUGGGCAACCCCAGGUGCCUGCCAGUCAAGCCUCUACUGAGAUUUCUCCCCACGAUUCCAUGGCAUUUUCCAUGAUGAGCAAAUGACACAGGGCUCCUUGGACCUCUGGUCACUCCUUCCACUAGCCAUGCCAGUCAGCCAUCUAGAGGUCCACCAGCCACUUAAAUCUCUAAGCCUCUUGACCCCUCUGAACUGAAUUCAGACCAACACUUAGGCUCUAGACUUUGGUUUCCUGAUAAAUAGCACACUGAAAACUAUUUUACUGACACUUAAAAAGGCCAGCUGAAAAUGUCAUCUUUGAAAUAUACUACAGUUAAACCUUAUAGCUUUGGAAAAUCAGAAUGUCAGAUCUAAAAGUGACCUCAGCGAUGAUCUAAGCAGGGGUUCUGGACUUGGGGUUAAUACUCUUGAAGGGGUCUUGGACCCUCAGAGACCCGUGAACCUCCUAAAAUAUACUCCAAUUCUGUGUGUGUGUGCAUGUGUACCAUUUUUUCUUUUAAGGAAGAGGGAUCAGAGCUUUCAUUAGACUCUUUAAAAGGGACCCCAAAGGGACCACCUUGUUUUAGAGAUGAGAAAAUGUGGCUCCUUAACAUGGUAAGAUAGCUGGAACUAGACCUGGGCCGCCUGGCUUAGAGCUCUUUGCACGAUAUUACACCAUUUGCCUUAAAAACCUUAGAGACGUUCAGUUAAAUACAGUGACCCAUGGGCCUGUUGAUUUGCUUCUGAAGUCCCACUCAUAUGAUGAUAAAGGAUAAAGUAUGAACCGAUAAGGACAAAGAGCACAUGAGAGUCGACAGCAGCCCACGAAGCCGUCAACAAAAUCUCAGAGACAGACAGGUCCGCGGUAAGUAAACUUAGCAGGACAGAGAAGACUGAAACCUAAGACCCCAGAAGAGGAAGCCCCAGAAGGAAUCUGGCACGAGGCAGAUGGGUGGGAAGCUGGAGGUGCAGUGGUCGCUGCAGAUGGCCUGGAAACGGGACUCACCGGGAGACUGCGUCAGGGUUCAGUUCAGCUCCGUCUCCUCCCCAUCCUCCCAACACACCUUCCAGCCUCUGGGGCGUCUGCACCGGAGAAGCUCCGGACUUCGGCAUCUCAGGCACAGCCAAGGGAGGAUUAGGCGCCUUAUUCAAAAAAAGUCUUGUUGUGCAGUGAGCUUCUCUCAGUGCAGCUCCCAGGACCGGCAGCCAGCGUAUAAUACCCCUCGGAGCUGGACUGUCUGCGGCCAGGCAGCUCCCGGCCGUCACCAAGCCCGUCUAUGGCUGGCAGCCACGCUUCCCAGAACCCGGACCAGACAGGGUUCCAGAUCGUUCGCCAGUGAGAGGAGGGUGCGUGGGAUUUGGGUGCCUGAGUGAAGUGAAUGCCAUUAUGCCAAUGGGCACGUGUGCCGCGUUCACGGAUCUCUCCCCACAAGCUCCUGCUUUUGGUGGGUGGAUGUUGUGGCUUCUCAGGGUUUCUGGGGACCUCCAGCUUCUGCUCCAGGGCUGCAGGCUCAAGUCUUCACCGAUGGUUCCACUAGUUCUCUGGCUGCAGUUUCUCCGCAGCCUCCUUCCACAUGUGCGGAGGCGCUGAGGCCUAGCCUUACUUUAUUCCAGCAACAGCUGUGGCCAUGUCGUUCGUGUGAGCCUAAGACUGAUCAGACGGAGAGAGCGAGCGAACACCCCCCACACUUUAUAAAUAACGGCACCGGGAGUCCUCCGGGCGGCAGCUCUGUCUCCUCUCAAUUACCCUGCGUUAAUUUUCUGUGGCUGCUGUUCUAGGUUAUUACAAACUUAGUGAAACAACACAGAUUUGUUACCUUGCCAUUCUGGAGGCCAGAAGUCAGAUUCAGAUCUCACUGGGGUAAAAAUCCACGUGUUGGCUGGGCUGCAUUCCUUUCUGGAAGUUCUAGGGGAGGUUCUGCUUCCUUUCCAGCUUCAUGUGCAGCCCGCAUUCCUUGGCUCAGGGCCCUCUUCCUUCCUCUUCCAAGCCAGCCUCACUGCCUCUCUCUGACCUUUCGUCCACAAUCACGUCUCCCUCUGACCCCAGCGGGCAGGGUUCUCUGCUUCUAAGCACGCGUGUGAGUAGAUUGAGCCCACCUGGGUAAUGCAGGCUUCUCUCCCCAUCUCAAGGGCUUAACCUGAAACUCAUCUGCAAAGUCCCUCUUGCCAUGUGAGGUAACAUUUCCACAGAUUCUGGGGAUUAGGAUGUGGAUGCCUUUGGAAGGUCAUCCUCUGCCAGUCACACACCCCAAGAUGAGCCCACCAGCUGGUAAGUCCUGUUAGUGUGUGGAGAGCUUCCAACAGCUGUAAGGCCUCCAGGCUUGAAUAUGAGUAGAUGGCCAAGGAUCACAAGACAUCUGAGCAACCCUCUAACAUGAAAGACAAAACUAAGAAUUAAAACACAAAGAACCUGGAAUAAACAGCAACAAUGCAAGGAGCAGGAAGGGGGAAAGAAAAAAAAAAAAAAAGGAAUUCCUGUUGUGGCUCAGCAGGUUAAGUAUCCGUGAGGAUGCGGGUUCAAUCCCUGGCCUCGCUCAGUGGGUUAAGGAUUGGGUGUUGUCAUGAGCUGUAUGUGGCAGAUGAGGGUCUGAUUCGAACCCUAGCCUGGGAACCUCCGUAUGCCAUGGGUGCAGCCCUAAAGAGACAAAAAAAGGGGGGGAUACUUAUUUAACAUCUGAAGAAACAUUUGUGAAUCCUCAAAAUAGGAACAAAAGGUUGAGAAAGAAGGAAAAGAAAGGAAGGAAGAAAAAGAAAGAAAGGAAAUUCUCAGAUACUAAGCAUAUUAGAAGAAAUCAAAAUUCAGUAUUAAGUUUCAGAAAUACAGGUGGGAAUUUCCCCAGAAUAAGAUAAAAAAAAGAUAGAAAACUGGAAAGGAAAAAAUAAGAAAAAUCACAGGGCUGGUCCAGCGUGUCCAAUGUAGGAAAAACCACAGUUCUAGAAAGAAAGAACAGUGACAAUAAAUAAAGAAAUUACCUAGGAAGUAGCAGAGAAAUAUUGUUGAGCGUUGAAAGAAUCAACCUCCAGAAUGGAAGGGACAUUCAAUGUUCGGUCAAAUUAAUGAACAAAACCUCUAUCACACACAUAAUUAUGAAAUUUAAACAACACAAGGGAUAUAAACAGAAUCUCCUAAAAACUUCCAGAGAAAAGGCACCAGAAAUCAGCACUGCGUCAGGCUACUCAGCAACACGGGGCUGGAAAACGAACAUCUGAGGGGCAAUUUCUUCCAGUCAGGAAUUCCAGUCACAUUAUCAAUGAAAUGUAAGAGUAAGAUGAAAAGCCUCAAAUAACUACCUCCUGGUCACCCUUUCUUAGGGAAACUACUGAAGGAUGAACACA
RNAcentral lists this long non-coding RNA (8517 nucleotides) under Sus scrofa (pig). RNAcentral describes it as "lncRNA (ENSSSCG00000058154.1)". Lineage: Eukaryota; Metazoa; Chordata; Mammalia; Artiodactyla; Suidae. The record is from RNAcentral.